RNAcentral lists this ribosomal RNA (662 nucleotides) under uncultured bacterium. Its description in RNAcentral is "bacterial SSU rRNA". It matches the Rfam family "Bacterial small subunit ribosomal RNA", at positions 232 to 885 of the family's 1533-position model. The record is from RNAcentral.
CGCGGCCUAUCAGCUUGUUGGUAAGGUAACGGCUUACCAAGGCUAAGACGGGUAGCUGGUCUGAGAGGAUGAUCAGCCACACUGGGAUUGAGACACGGCCCAGACUCCUACGGGAGGCAGCAGUGGGGAAUAUUGGACAAUGGGGGCAACCCUGAUCCAGCCACGCCGCGUGAGUGAUGAAGGCUUUCGGAUCGUAAAACUCUGUCCUGAGGGAAGAAUGUCCUGGAUUCAAAUAGGGUCUAGGCUUGACGGUACCUCUGGAGGAAGCACCGGCUAACUCCGUGCCAGCAGCCGCGGUAAAACGGAGGGUGCUAACGUUGCUCGGAAUUACUGGGCGUAAAGCGCAUGCAGGCGGUUUGUUAAGUUUCGUGUGAAAGCCCUGGGCUCAACCCAGGAAGUGCACGGAAAACUGGCAGACUAGAGUACUGGAGAAGUGGGCGGAAUUCCGGGUGUAGAGGUGAAAUUCGUAGAGAUCCGGAGGAACACCAGUAGCGAAAGCGGUCCACUAGACAGAUACUGACGCUCAGAUGCGAAAGCGUGGGUAGCAAACAGGAUUAGAUACCCUGGUAGUCCACGCCGUAAACGAUGGGCACUAGGUGUCGGGGGUUUGACCCCUUCGGCGCCGUAGCUAACGCGUUAAGUGCCCCGCCUGGGGAGUACGG